Molecule: long non-coding RNA, 237 nt
Filed under: Medicago truncatula (barrel medic)
Lineage: Eukaryota; Viridiplantae; Streptophyta; Magnoliopsida; Fabales; Fabaceae
Description: long non-coding RNA (MTRU_LNC005612)
Source: RNAcentral
UCAAAAAAAAAUUUGGUCCUAAAUAUAAGAAAAUAUCACAAUUUUUAAGGUGUAGUUAUUGCUUAAAAGACUUUUUUACCCCUUAUUUAAUGUUUGUCUUUUUAAUAUUAGUGGGUGUAUUUAAUGCUUCACAAUUUUUUAUGAGGGUAUAUUUGUAAAAACAUUCAAAAAGUUACACUAAUUAAUAAGUGUAUUGGUUUCGAUGUUUUUUAGUUUUUCUUCUUAUAAUAAGGACCG